RNAcentral lists this ribosomal RNA (320 nucleotides) under uncultured eukaryote. RNAcentral's name for it is "partial 18S ribosomal RNA". It matches the Rfam family "Eukaryotic small subunit ribosomal RNA", at positions 1470 to 1796 of the family's 1831-position model. The record is from RNAcentral.
CCCUUAGAUGUUCUGGGCCGCACGCGCGCUACACUGACUACUUCAACGAGUUGUUUCCUUGAUCGAAAGGUCUGGGUAAUCUUUGAAAGGUAGUCGUGAUGGGGAUAGAUCCUUGCAAUUUUUGAUCUUCAACGAGGAAUUCCUAGUAAACGCAAGUCAUCAGCUUGCAUUGAUUACGUCUCUGCCCUUUGUACACACCGCCCGUCGCACCUACCGAUUGAAUGGUCCGGUGAAAUCUCGGGACGGCGGCUUGGUCGCUUGCGUCCGACUGCUGAAACUUGAUUAAACCAUAUCAUUUAGAGGAAGGUGAAGUCGUANCA